GGGGCCGAUUUGGAUUCGACGCCGGUGAUGAAACUUUAGGUGCAUGCCGAGUUGGUAACAGAACUCGUAAAUCCACUGUUGCAACUUUCUAUAGUUGCCAAUGACGAAACCUACGGGGAAACAGCUCUCGCCGCGUAAGCGGUGCUUGCCUUCCUUCUGGUAGCUUCGGCUCCAGCAAUCAUCAGGGGAUGCCUGUAAACCCGAAAUGAUUGUCAUAUAGAACAGGAUCGUCGCCUAGUACGUUGCGGACGAAGCGACUAAAACUUACGCAACUCGCCCAAAGCACCCUGCCCGUCGGGUCGCUGAGGGUUAACUUAAUAGACACGGCUAAGCAUGUAGUACCGACAGCGGAGUACUGGCGGACGGGGGUUCAAAUCCCCCCGGCUCCACCA
This 392-nucleotide transfer-messenger RNA is filed under the name Pseudomonas cannabina. It matches the Rfam family "transfer-messenger RNA". Rfam says of the family: Bacterial tmRNA, also known as 10Sa RNA or SsrA, is named for its dual tRNA and mRNA-like properties. RNAcentral also lists the same sequence under 1 other name. Lineage: Bacteria; Pseudomonadati; Pseudomonadota; Gammaproteobacteria; Pseudomonadales; Pseudomonadaceae. The record is from RNAcentral.